Molecule: non-coding RNA, 7993 nt
Organism: Equus caballus (horse)
Lineage: Eukaryota; Metazoa; Chordata; Mammalia; Perissodactyla; Equidae
Source: RefSeq, a predicted model, not a curated record
GCCAUGUCCACACCCAGGAUACGAACCAGCGAAACUCUGGGCCUCUGAAGCAGAGCGCACGAACUUAACCACUCAGCCACGGGGCCGGCCCCCUAGGUUUGUUUCUUUUUAUGUUUCCCUGGUGCAUUUGGCCCAAGGAUCCCCUGGCCAAGGCUAGGUAGGACAGGAGAAGUCACCUCUGCCACCUGCCAGGGCGUGACCCAGGGAGGCCGGUCUUGUGUGGCGGCUGCAGUGGCCGAGGGACAAUGGCCGGGGGACACAGGGCUGGCCUCUCAGCCCUGGCAGGAGGAGCUGCAGACAGGUGUCGGGUGGAGAUGACGGGAAGCCCAGGGCUGCCUGGGCCAGGUCCCACCGUCCACUUCCCACCAGUCAGGUGGUGGUUGUGGCAUUGAAGGUAAGCCCAGGAGACACUUUCCCCCAGAAUGACCAAGCAGGAUGAGUGUGUGGGUUGGCGGCUGCUGGCUCCUGUCUGUAACUGACGCCUGGCGUCUGGGUGAAGGAUCCUCACUGGGGGGAUUGCGGAUGGGCUGUCCCUCCUUGUCCUUAGUGCCACGGGGCUCAGUGACCAUGGAAGCCCUCCACCACACAGCGCCCACAGAGGCUUGCGAAGUGCCCUGUCAAGCACUUUCCACGCACUCCCUCGCUUAAUUCUUAACCCUAUGAGGAGGGCACGACCUCUCCAUGUUGUCCAGUGCCGAAGGCAUGGGGUGAGCCUCUGGUCCAGGAUCGCAGAGGCCUGCAGGCCCCGGCCCUCAGCUGUGCGCAGGCUCCGAGCUGCCGCGUUCACGUCUCGGAAUUGAGCCGCCUCGGCCAAGCCAUCCUGCUGAUCUGUCGUCUGGUAAUUUCUGUGGGCAAUUUUUUGUAACCUUAUUUCAUAAGUUGUUAGCAGAAAGUGUUUUCUUAUUUCUGCAUGGCAUAAUAAAAGGUUUUAUGUUACUCACUAGAAUGUAGGAAUCUAUGUUUCUGUAUAGUAGGAAUUGGAACCCAAGGUUACUUUUUCCCUGAAAAAAAUAUAUUUUGGAGAGAAAUGAUGUUGAAAAACUUUAAAUAAUUUUAUCACAAGAAUGUGGAUACUAUUUUAUAUUUCAAAGACACUUUGCACAUUGUUAAGUUAAUAUUCUUUAAAAACCUAGACUUCUUCUGCCCCUAGUAUACAAUCUCAUCCCUAGUUCUGUGCUGAUUGGUUUGUCCUGUGUCACAUGUUUGUAAGUGUUCAGACUGCCGAGCCUCACAAUGUGGUGAGUCUUCAAAUUAUUUCUCCAGACAUUCUUAGAUAGUCUCUGUCUGCCUUUAUAUUAGCCACAAAACUCUCAGUUUUGGUAACUCGGUGACAGACAGUUUUUGGGGAUUGCUUUGGCACACAGCAUUUUGCCUAAAAGUGACAUUGCGUUCUUUCUGCUUAAUUUUCAUGAGAGAGCACAGGACCUGGUGGUGCACUGACCUGGCAGCUGUGGCGGUGGUGACACUAAGUGUGGGCCCUUCCCAUGCGUUUCUUUGUCAGCUGGCUGUCACCAGGAGGUGAGUCGGCGGCCGCUUGCCAUGUAGGCACGUGCCCGCCUCCGCUUUUCUCUUCAUCCUGUCAUCACUUUCAGUCUGUGCUUUGGGGAUUCGUGCUCUGGGAGAACAGAAGAGCCCCGAGAGCACGCCGACUGCCGCAGGUCCUCUGGAGGGCCAGCACUUCAAGUGGGCCUUCACAGCCCUGUGUCGCCAUGUCGGAGCCGCUGAAGCAGACUACGAUGUGCUGAGGGCAGGAGGAGGAAGGCUUUCACAACCCGGUGUCAACGUCGAGAGUUAUCAACAAGGGCCAGCCUGGUGGCAUAGUGGUUAAGUUCGGUGCGUUGGGUUUUCAGGUUCAGCUCUUGGGUGCGGACCUACACCAUUCAUCAGCCAUGCUGUGCUCAGCCCUAUAAAGUGGAGGAAGAUUGGCACAGAUAUUAGCUGAGGGAGAAUCUUCCUCAGGCAAAAAAUAAAGUUAACAACUCAAGGUUGAAAUUCAGCAUUCUGAAUUGUUUCACAUACACAUUGCAAAGAGAGCUUUAAAGCUUUUCCCUUGAAUUUGCCUCCUAAAGGAUUUGUAAGAAAUCUGGUAGCUGCUGCCACAGUGCUGUGCGUACGCCUGUGAAGGGCUGUGGGCAUUCCCAUUAGAAACCGAGGAUAGGGGCCCUGAGGAACGGGCCUCUGUCCUGAAAGUGGUACUUGGGCAGGGACUGUGUUUGCUCCGUGCAUGUCUGUUCCUCACUGGGAGUCUGGCUUUUGCUCAAUGUUGCUUUGAGUUGUCCUGUAAGGCUGUGGUCAAGUGGUUUUAACCACUGGGUUUGUGUCUUAAUUUACCCCAGGCCUGAUUUGUCACACUAGGAAGCAUCAGAUUGUGGUCGUUUUCAGAACAGUCCUGCAGGGGAAGGCGGUGUGUUACGGAUGGGAAAACAUGUCUGCUGGGAUGGAGUCUGUGGGCCAGGAUCUGUUGUCAUGUUCCGUGUCGUGUUGUCCACCCCCUCCCCCUCACCCCCACUCGAGUGCCUGUCUGAGCAGCUCGCAGGGAGGAGCGCAUCCUUGCGCAGGAAACUGCAUUCAUCACCAAAUGUCCCUUUGUUUAAGUCACACACAUUUGUAAGAAACACAGAAAUGCCUCAGCCAUUGCCACUGGCCCUUUUUUUUUAACUUGGCAAUUGUAUUUCUAACCAGGGUUGGGCCGUGAUGAACAUGCAGGUGGCAGCCCACUGGGAGUGUUUCAUGGUAUUGCUGUGCGCAGUGUGUAUCAGUCAGCUCCGGCUGCUGUGACAAAUGCCACUGGCUGGGCAGCUUGAGUAACAGAAUUUAUUCUCUCUGUUUGGAGGCUGAAAAUUCCAGGUCGAGGCUGGUUUCUCGCCUGGGCUCGUAGGCGCUCAUCCCAUCCCUGUGUCCUCACACGGUUGUCCCUCUGUGUGUGUGUGUGUCCUGAUCUUAUGAGGUCACCAGUCACAUCAGAUCGGGGCCCACCCAUAUGACCUCAUUUUAACUUAAUUACCUCUUCAAAGGCCCCAUCUCCACAUAAAGUCACAUUGUGAGGUACCAGGGGUUAGGGCUCCAACAGAUGAAUUUGGGGAAUACAGUUCAGCCCACAGCACCAUAUUAGAAUUUAUUUGGCCUUUCUUACUGUUAACCUGUAAGUGGGAAAGCAGUCUUGUUGGCAUUAUUCUUGACAAACUAAUUAUUUUUAAAAGGAUGCUAAUGCUCUGUUUGCUAUAAAAGGAGUGGAUAGAUCCAGUGUAGGAAGAGAGCCUGGGAAGGUGAGCGGAUUGCUGGUUCUUGAUCUCCUUGCCCACUGCCUCUCGCUGCUCUCUCGGGUUGUUGACGGAACACUCUCACUUGUUCUCCUUGUCUGUGAGUGGCGAGACUCUGCCCUGCUCUCUCAGAAGAUGCCUGUGCAUCUCCAGGGAGAUGUGGACCUGGGCCUGACACAGGGACGUGUCACCUUCGUGCUGGCAUUUCACAGGGCCUUGUGCCGGCGGCAGCUUCGUCAUUUCAGGCUGUGACACAUUUGCUUUGGAUUUCUGAGAUCGCACUCGGAGUUCCACCUUGUUGGUUUCACUGUCAGGACGUCAGUCAGGAUGGUUUCCGUUUCAGUGUUUUCUGGAACGCUGGCAUCUCGCAGCGCAUGCCGACGUUUGUGCAGGAGGUGCUGUUGAAGGUUCGUGGGAGCUUCCACCGCUUGUUUUUUUAAGAUUUUAUUUUUCCUUUUUCUCUUCAAAGCCCCCCCCGGUACAUAGUUGUAUAUUUUAGUUGUGGGUCCUUCCAGUUGUGGCAUGUGGGACGCCACCUCAGCAUUGCCUGAUGAGCAGUGCCAUGUCCGCGCCCAGGAUCCAAACCAGUGAAAUCCUGGGCCGCCAAAGCAGAGCGCACGAACUUAACCACUCGGCCACGGGGCCCGCCCUCACCUCCCUGUUGUUAAAUUUCCGGUAUGGAUUUUUAACAUUGGUCCCCACAGUCUUUGUUUCUGAGGGAAGCAAGCUGCUUUAUUUAAACUGCCACAGAAUCUCAUUCUAGUUUAACGUGUGCUCCAAGGAAGUAACCGUCCAGAUGGCCAGAGAACGGUGACCGAGGCGGGUGCACACGUACCGUCGCCAUGUUGUUCCAGAGGGCGCCCGGCAGAGCGGAGGGCUGGGUGCCGAGGCGCCUUCUGUCCUCCUGAGAAGGCAUGAUGGCGGGCUGCCUUCCUCGGAGCAGGUGAUGGGCUUGGGACAUGCUAGGCCCACCUGGAAACUGCGGCUGGCCUCAUUAAGCUUGAGUGAGGGUUCAGAUGCGAGUGUCUUCCAGGUCUUUGUUGUAGUUUAUGAACCAGUCAGUUCUAACCGAACUCAGCUUGAAUGCUGUUGAGAUAGUAGCACAAAUGUAUGUUUUCUUCUAGUAGAUUUUGUAAAUGUGGGUAUAUACAAUAAUUCAUAAGGCACCUGAAAUCUUUUAUGGGACAAAAUUGGUAUAAAUAGUUGUUUUGUCGUUGAAAGUUCUUUGUCCUAUAAUUGUGAAUUUUGAAGCUGUUCCGUAGAAGACUGCUCUUCGUUCCCAGGUCACUGUAGAUCCGUCUGGUGUACCGCCACCUCAGAGAGAUGGUUAACUAAGGUGGGUCCCAAAGCUUGCGGUCAUCGUUAGAUGAUUCCAGCUUGCCACUAGGUGAAGUUAUAAGACGGUUAUGACGUGGGGAGUUGGGGGUGCUGGGGCGGGCUUCACAAGGCCUGAUAGAACUAGCCUGGGCACGUGUUUCGGAGGCUGGUCUCUGUUCUCUAUUUUAAAACUGUCUCUGUGCCUCAGUUUCUUUCCUUGCAUGAUUUUUUUUUAAACAUCUGCAAACUCCUAAUUUGUUUAUCCAGAAUAAUACCUGUUUAAAGAAAAUUCCUGUUUCUUUACAGCACUUAGGAAAGAGUAACUUGUUUUUGCAAAAAUGUCCCUGAGAAUUACUCUCAAUAAGUGAUGGCCAUAUUGCAUAUAAAACUAGAAGAUGAUUUGGAAGGCCAGCCAGCUUGUGUUUCUCCUGAAUAUUCCUGUGUCACAGGCUUUCCUCUGCUCCCCUGGGUCAGCGAGGGGCCUGAUCCCAGCAGUGACAUCUGGGCUUUGGAUGGUUACCGUGGAGCUGGUGAUGGCAUUUGUUGCUAACCAGUGUCCUGCCCGCUGAGCCACGCUCCAUGGAGGAGCUCGUGACUGCCGUUUAGGCGUUUUAAUUCUCCAUAAAUCAGAGAGCAGUGUGGUGUUGCUUUGAGAAAGACAGCACAGAAAGUGUGGUACAAACUGCAGCUUUUCUCAGUUUACUGUCAUCGUUCUCCCAGCUGACCGUUAGCUGACAUCUCGGAACCCGCCAGGCUCUUCCGCUUAGCAUCCUGCGGGGGCGGCUUCCUGUGGGCAGCGGUGCAGACGCAUCGGAUCAGCUGGGCUGUGCCCAGGACCUCGCCGGCUCAGCGUUACACCUGCUGCCUCUCAGCUUGGACGUGCGCACUAUCCUGUAGUGUCAUCAUGAGUGGCAAGAUGGUUACGUACUAGUUCACUGGGAAACGCAGACUAGGGUAUCCUUUGAGAAAGUUCUGGGUUUGAGUGGCUUUGAGAGGAAAAUCUCCAGCAGGGGAUGAAAGCACCUAAUUGAAGAACGGAGUCCGUGGUCCAUGCAGCGCCUGGGGCACCUUGAGGCAUCAGGAGAAGCGCUCUGCGCAGACUCCUCGCAGGUGCCCCCGUGUCCCUCUGUGGCUCUCUGCAUUGCACUGUCCUCAGCCUCAGAGUGCCUGCAGGAUGUCCAUGAAGCUGAGCCCUGACCCAGGUGGAGUCAGGAGGCACCCCCAGCUGCACUGGCCGCCUCCACCAGGGGCUCUCUUACUGCACAGCAUGUCCAUAACUCUGUGAUUGGUGUCACAGGCCAGCUGAGAGCUGGUGCUGUCACCUGUUAACAGCCUCUGUGAAGUCUGGGGAGCAGGCAGGCCUGGUGGCCAAUGGCAAGUGUGGUCCCCGGUGAAAUGAUGGUGUCCUGUCAGCCGAAUGCUGAGCCCACACUCCAACUUGAGAACUGCCCCCGAGGCCCCUGCUGCCCAGCUCCCCUCAGGCUGCUUCCUGAAAGGGGAGAGUGUGCAGCGGAAGAACGCUGUUCCUGUCGUGCAUGCUUAGGAGGCCCACAAAGAGAAGGGCAUCGCAGACAGAAGACCAAAUCGGAAUCCCAGGUAACCCUGCGGGUCGUGCCUCAGGCUCGGCCCUGCCUGGCUUGGCGAUUGUAGGGUUUUCCCUGGAGUCAGGAGCACUUCCCUCGUUUAACAUGGAAUUCCUUCUCUGAGUGAUACCCAGGAGGCGGCAGGGUCUGCUUCCGCUCCUCCCUUAUCACUGCACAUUGGUGACCGGGGCUUGCAGGGGACAGUGCAGUGACCAGCCCAGCAGCCGGUGGCCGAGCAGGCACCAGGUGACGUGAUGACUCGUUGCUGACAUGCCGUUUUCUCUUGCACAGGUUCGCCCCAGUCUUUUCAUACCUUUCUGUCCCUUUCCUGUCAACAGUUAACACGCUUUGUGAAAAGGAGACUGAAAAUGGUCUCUGAUGAGCCCAAAUAAGCCCUUCUGGAAAAUGCAGUUGCUACAGGUGGCUUUUUGUAUGCGUUUUCCUCAGUGUCUGACCUUGUGCUUGUAGCUCACCAUUACAUUACAUCAUCUGGGGUAGAAGGGAAUUAAAGAGCCAAGAAAUAGGAAUCUCUUGCACCUUAAUUUUGUUAAUCGUCAGGAAUGGGUGGUCCUUAGGGAUGAGCGGUAAGAACGAGAAAUCGUGCUGCACAUCCACCUCAGGCUGCUGUCUCUCCUGCUGGUGAGACUCAGCCACGUGGUCGUCUGGGUAGGUGUUCGGAGUCCAGGCUCUGUGCAGACUGAACUGGGCCAGGGGCUGUGGUCUCCGGUCACCCCUCCCCUCCCUGGGUGAUGCGUGCUCGCUCGAGGGAGACUCCCGCCUGGGAUCUGGGGCAGCGAGACGUCGGGAGCUUGUGUAUUUGUGAGGCUGUAUCGGGGUGCUUCUAAUGCCCAUGACCUGAAUCUUCCUCUGUUUUAAACCUUUAGGUUAUGUUUUAUAUCAGCGUGAGCAUCUUAUUCUUGAAGACUUUGGAACCGAUGAAACAAUCAUAGGUGUUGCCCUGGGAGUUCUGCGCAUCUGUUUCCAGGUUGCUCGCAUCGUCGGUACACGGCUUUGCUGUGUCCCUCGUCCGUGAGCCAGCCUGCUAGUUCCUCCUCUGAUCUCAGCCUGGUGACGCUUGCCGGUUCUUGGCCAUAAGUGACUUCCUGAUAGAAAAGGACCCUCAGGCUUCAGUAUCCAGCGGAGUUGGCAGCUCUGUCAGAAACGGAACUGAGGUCACUUUGAGACUACCUGCAUUCUCUUCCUGGAAGGACACCCGGCAAUAGGUGUGAAACAAAACAAGAAGCAGCCUGCAGGACAGGAAGUCGCUGCACCAGAAUGGUUUUCGCCUGCAGGAUGUGCUCUUCCUCUCACAUGUCAGUUUUGGGAAAUGGAUUGAUUCAUUUUAUAACUUUGGAAGAUACUUAUUCUUUGUUACAAGAAACAACUACUUUAUUAUAGGAACAAAAUAAUAGUAUUUCAUAACAGUUCAUUUGUCAUGUACCCUUGGAGUUUCUCUCGAUAACCAGCAUAGCUGUGUUUCUCACAGAAUUCACGUUUGUCAUUAAGAGGCUGGAACUCGGUCUACACACCAUCUGAAUUGUGACCUGGGGGCGUGUUUGCCUGGCCUCAUGCUGGCCACAUCCCUGUUUCCUUUCCAGAUCGCUCGCGUUAGUCUGAUUACCGGGCUGUGUGCAUGGACAGACAGCGCACACUGACUAUGUUUGGUGUUACUUUUCAGAACCUGAGCUACAGAGCUUGAGUUGGCUAAUUGAUAAGCUGUGUUUUAUAUUACAUUCCUUGUACCUUCCUGGAAAGGAAUUUGACCUUUGCAAAAACUAUGAUAAGUGAUCAUUAAAGAGGUGUUUGUAAAAUAAAUUGAAUAUCACUUCCUAA